RNAcentral lists this ribosomal RNA (207 nucleotides) under uncultured bacterium. Its description in RNAcentral is "partial 16S ribosomal RNA". It matches the Rfam family "Bacterial small subunit ribosomal RNA", at positions 568 to 774 of the family's 1533-position model. The record is from RNAcentral.
CGCGUAGGUGGUUCAGUCAGUCAGAUGUGAAAGCCCCGGGCUCAACCUGGGAAUUGCACCUGACACUGCUGAGCUAGAGUACGGUAGAGGGUAGUGGAAUUUCCGGUGUAGCGGUGAAAUGCGUAGAGAUCGGAAGGAACACCAGUGGCGAAGGCGACUACCUGGACCGAUACUGACACUGAGGUGCGAAAGCGUGGGUAGCAAACA